AAGAAAGAUGUGACUUCUAAAUUAAAUUUUAAUUAAAACUUCUCUUUACUCAACUUAUUUUUCUUUUACUAUAUAAGCCAACCCAGUUCUUUGUAGAGUAGACCUCCACUGAAGUCUUCCAGCCAUCUACAUUCUCAUAACCAACUGAACCAGCUGAUGAGGGCCUAUUAGAAAGAAGAGUCCAAUGGAUUCAUAUCAUAGGGAACACAAGCCCUAGCCCAAAGAUGUUCACCUUGAAGAAAUCCCUGUUGCUCCUUUUCUUCCUUGGGACCAUAAACUUAUCUCUCUGUGAGGAAGAGAGAGAUGCCGAUGAAGAAGAGAGAAGAGAUGAUCCCGAAAAAAGGCAUGUUAAAGUGGAAAAACGAUUUAUUACACUUUUGCUUCGCAAAUUUAUUUGUUCAAUAACCAAAAAAUGUUAAACUUUGGAAACCUGAAUUGGAAAUCAUCUGAUGUGGAAUAUCAUUUAGCUAAAUGCACAUCAGAUGUCUUAUAAAAAAAUAAACAUGUUGCAUAUGCUGA
Rana temporaria (common frog) is the source of this 519-nucleotide long non-coding RNA. RefSeq lists it as uncharacterized. The record is from RefSeq and is a predicted model, not a curated record. Lineage: Eukaryota; Metazoa; Chordata; Amphibia; Anura; Ranidae. The transcript is spliced from 4 exons.